CGGGACUCAUGCUUCUCGUAGGAAAUAGAUAAAGUCCGUGUAGCUGCUAUAGUAUUACCUUAGCUUUGUCCCAGCAAAACUUAAACCGUAGAUCGUCGUCCAAAAACACUGUUUGUAAGUAAGUAGGCAAGUCUGCAUAGUCAUAGCAGGUGUAAGUCUCGACUUAUAGAUUACCUCGGGUUGUUAGCCAUUGGGUCAUCAUCCGGACAUCUUACUUACAGAAGUAAACGACUAAUGUAACCACUUUAGGAAUCAUCCCUGGCUCUCGGAAGCGUUUUAGGCGUGAGGUGUAGGCGAAAUCUUGCCUAAGAGGCCACAUCCUUCCGAGUCGCAACUUGAUUUCGCAAGUUGCUUAUAAUAGUGAAGAUUUGCACGUCAAGGAUGAACCAUCUUGUCACGCGAACUCUUUUAUGGGGAGGGGUCUUGCACUUAACGCCUCUUCUGGUUAGAGACCCAGGAUCCCACGAAAUUGAAUCCUUCAAUUGACUAAGUCUAUUCCAGGGGAAGGACUAUCGUGGCCAAUUCUGGGAGUCGUUCAACUCAGGUAGUCACUGUAUUUAGGGGAAACUGAGUAGUCGUACCACUCAUCCAUGUCUGGAUAUUCUGGAUUAGUUUACCCUCUCGUAUUGGAGAGCAUAUGCCAUGUCUGAACGGGCAGAUGACGUCUUCUGCUUGUCACAAUGGUGGUUGAGGAAUUAGUUUACCCUUUCGCUAGAGAGCUUAUGCUAUAUCUGAUUGGGCAGAGGGCAUCUUCUGCUUGUCAUAUGGGUGGUUGAGGAAUUAGUUUACCCUUUCGCGCUAGAGAACUUACACCAUGUCUGAAUGGGCAGAAGAUGUCUUCUGCUUGUCACAGGGUUGGUCAAUUUGUUUAUGCAUUUAGCCCAAGCUUGUGAAUAACUCUGUCGAUCUUCAUUUGAAAAUAGAGGUUUUUAUUAACUUUGCUCGUAGACAGUAAUAACAUAACAACUGAUAAUUCUCAGCCUGCGAGGUCUUGUUCAUCGAGCUGCUUGAGUCUUCAAAUUUUUUUCGUCUUGAACAGGGUCCAAGGAAUAGUGGGGGGGGUCACACGUAAUACUUUCUCAGGUUGUAGGCAUUCCACUACUUGUUGAUUUCUUUGUCGCUCAUAAUGGUGAGGGUGUAGCUGCCCUUUCUGCCUACUCAGCUGAUUUUGUACGGACCUUCCCAUAUGUGAGCCAUCUUUUUUAUAGCCUUUCCGUCGGGUGGUGAUAAAGG
This 1233-nucleotide long non-coding RNA is filed under the name Malus domestica (apple). RNAcentral describes it as "long non-coding RNA (MDOM_LNC006166)". Lineage: Eukaryota; Viridiplantae; Streptophyta; Magnoliopsida; Rosales; Rosaceae. The record is from RNAcentral.